UCAAAGAUUAAGCCCUGCAGGUCUCAGUGCAAGCCGAAUUAAGGUGAAACCGCGAAAAGCUCAUUAAAUCAGCUAUGGUUCCUUAGAUGGUACGUACAGUUACUUGGAUAACUGUGGCAAUUCUAGAGCUAAUACAUGCAAACCGAGUUCCGACCGCUUAGCAGGCGGAAGGAAUGCUUUUAUUAGAUCAAAACCAAUCGAACUCUACACGUAUGGGUUCGUUUAAGUCUUGGUGACUCUGAAUAACUUUGUGCUGAUCGCACGGUCCCGCACCGGCGACGCAUCUUUCAAAUGUCUGACUUAUCAACUUUCGAUGGUAAGCUCUGCGCCUACCAUGGUCGUAACGGGUAACGGGGAAUCAGGGUUCGAUUCCGGAGAGGGAGCCUGAGAAACGGCUACCACAUCCAAGGAAGGCAGCAGGCGCGCAAAUUACCCACUCCCGGCACGGGGAGGUAGUGACGAAAAAU
This 467-nucleotide ribosomal RNA is filed under the name Bovicola ovis (sheep biting louse). Its description in RNAcentral is "SSU rRNA". It matches the Rfam family "Eukaryotic small subunit ribosomal RNA", at positions 37 to 478 of the family's 1831-position model. Lineage: Eukaryota; Metazoa; Arthropoda; Insecta; Psocodea; Bovicoliidae. The record is from RNAcentral.